This is a long non-coding RNA of Papaver somniferum (opium poppy), 719 nucleotides long. RefSeq lists it as uncharacterized. The record is from RefSeq and is a predicted model, not a curated record. The transcript has 3 exons. NCBI's taxonomy places the organism in Eukaryota, Viridiplantae, Streptophyta, Magnoliopsida, Ranunculales, Papaveraceae.
AAAAAAGUAAAAAAAAAAAAAAAAAGUGAGAUAAGAGGAACAAGUGCAGGAGAGGCUCAGAGUUUAUCAAUUUAGUUCCUUCUUUAGCUGAAAUUGAUUCAAUUUACGGAUGCAAACUAUCAAGAUCCACUUUCUUCAGUUAUUACAGGUGACAUUUACAAUGUUUACUCUUCGUCAAGGACCGCCUAAGCGAGGGAGAACUAUUAUGGAAACAUAUUACAAACCUCAAUCUAGUCAAAUGACUCAAACAGAAGAAGCAGCAAGAAUCAAUGCUCCAUUUUCAUCUUCACCAAAUGCUAGAAAUCAUGAAGUAGAGUUGUAAACCUUAGACAUUAAGAAGGUGAAGCAAUGGAUACCCAGAGAGUACCUGACGUUGUCUAAAAUGCAUGUCACAAAGGGUCGAAGUGUACCAUUUGUGAAGCUAAUACUGAUCGAUGGUUUUUUCUUUUUGGUAGACCAUGUUUUUUGUACACUUGUAUCAACCAGACUACUUAUAUACAUAAUGAAAACUCUUUUGUACUGAUGCCUGAUUGUGUUCUCUUUAGCCGAUAUAAGUAAUGAGGUUUCAGAAGAAAGAUCAUUUGAAAUUAAUCUUUUUCUUUCAACUGACUAGUUCAUUGGUAUAGUAAAACUGCAGGUUGCUUUCGAGGAGUGGUCGGACAACCAUGGAAGUAAGGAUGGAUGCACUUUCUGCGAUAAAAUGGUUGGAUCUGUCAUCA